RNAcentral lists this ribosomal RNA (484 nucleotides) under uncultured bacterium. Its description in RNAcentral is "partial 16S ribosomal RNA". It matches the Rfam family "Bacterial small subunit ribosomal RNA", at positions 30 to 507 of the family's 1533-position model. The record is from RNAcentral.
AUUGAACGCUGGCGGCAGGCCUAACACAUGCAAGUCGAGCGGAUGAAGGGAGCUUGCUCCUGGAUUCAGCGGCGGACGGGUGAGUAAUGCCUAGGAAUCUGCCUGGUAGUGGGGGAUAACGUCCGGAAACGGGCGCUAAUACCGCAUACGUCCUUAGGGAGAAAGUGGGGGAUCUUCGGACCUCACGCUAUCAGCUGAGCCUAGGUCGGAUUAGCUAGUUGGUGGGGUAAAGGCCUACCAAGGCGACGAUCCGUAACUGGUCUGAGAGGAUGAUCAGGCACACUGGAACUGAGACACGGUCCAGACUCCUACGGGAGGCAGCAGUGGGGAAUAUUGGACAAUGGGCGAAAGCCUGAUCCAGCCAUGCCGCGUGUGUGAAGAAGGUCUUCGGAUUGUAAAGCACUUUAAGUUGGGAGGAAGGGCAGUAAGUUAAUACCUUGCUGUUUUGACGUUACCAACAGAAUAAGCACCGGCUAACUUCGUG